UCAGAACACUAUCAUUGCACAGAUAUUUAGACCUGUUGUGACAUAUAUUGCAUUAUUUUAUGGCUGCUUAUGACACCAACAUAAGAGUGUAAAAACCCACAAAACCUACCAUGGUAGUUAUUUUAUGGCUGGUUAUGACACCUACAUAAGAGUGUCAAUACCUACACAAGGCAAAACAUUCCAUUACACCAUAGCCUGCGGGUCAACAGUGGGUUUAUGUUAAACUAUUUAUUUAUUUAUUUAUUUGCCAUGUUAAAUUAUCAUUGUAAUUGUGCACACAUUGACGUCAGACAUGCACCUACCCCAAUGGUCUGUUGCUGCUGUCUGGGAUGAAUGCAGAAGCAGAUUUCAGGAGCAGGACAAGACACCAUGGUCAAUUAAACAUGAAAAGAAAGGGAGCGCUAUCAGAUUUCUUUUUAAAGAAGCACAACAGGCAGAUCAGGUGCAAACAGACCCCAGCCCUUGCAUCACCACCGGACCCCAGAGCAGCUCCCCACCUGAGGCUAGUCAGAGUCAGUGUGGUCAGACUUCACAAGGACCCAGUCUACCACCACCAGGCCAGAGCAUCUACCAGGCAGGAUGACACAGAGACCUCUGGCUCUGAGCAAGACAGUGAGCCAGAGCUGCCAGGAGAUGUCAUCGAGCCCCUCCCAACUCCAUCAAGCACCAGAUAUGCUGUUCCAAAAGGACCCAAUGGUAGGCCAGUCCUAUACUUUAAACUACAAACUUUAGUUAGCA
RNAcentral lists this long non-coding RNA (738 nucleotides) under Salmo salar (Atlantic salmon). Its description in RNAcentral is "lncRNA (ENSSSAG00000091494.1, ENSSSAG00020068686.1, ENSSSAG00075037368.1)". Lineage: Eukaryota; Metazoa; Chordata; Actinopteri; Salmoniformes; Salmonidae. The record is from RNAcentral.